RNAcentral lists this long non-coding RNA (1411 nucleotides) under Medicago truncatula (barrel medic). Its description in RNAcentral is "long non-coding RNA (MTRU_LNC005178)". The record is from RNAcentral. Lineage: Eukaryota; Viridiplantae; Streptophyta; Magnoliopsida; Fabales; Fabaceae.
AGAAUUUUUAAGGAAUUUAGAGGUUCAGAGUAACCUUAAAAAGUAACUUAAUAACAUAACUUUGUUCUCCAAAAACUUUACUGUCUUUUCAAUUUUCUGGUUCUUCUUCAUUUCUUGUCCACCACUUUAUCAUAGCUUCUGUUUUUCACAUAUGCCCACACGACCUAAAAUGAGCUUACCAUUUUUUCUACAAUGGAGCCAUCUCAACUUUUUCUCUGCUGUUUAUUUAAUUUAUUUAAUUCAGGGUUAAAAACCAUGUAAUGGACUAAUUUUAAAACCUAACUUUCUUUUUUAGGUGCUGCACUGUCUGUAAAGAGAAGUGACAUAUUGGCUCUUGCUAUAGGUAUGAUGGACUCUUUGAUCCUCUACAAUCAAUGAUUGGUUUAUUGUGUCAUUCACGGGUGAUAAUUCUGGAUGUCACAAUGAAUGUUGGGAUAAAAUGGUUUGUUUAAAUCGAGUAAAACUUCUGUUUCAUGAAUGGUGUGUUCAUCAACUGGUAACAAUUAUAGCAACUAUAGAAGAAAGGCUUAAGUGGGGUGUGGGUUUUCCUACUAUAGGUGUUUCAAUUGUUUUACAUGCACUGAGGCAUUCUUUAGAAUCAAGUGCAUUUCAGAUAUGGCUCAAUAAAUGUUAUAUUUGAUUUAGACUGAAUCACCAUUUAAGUCUAUAAAUUACAGGGGUUGAAAUUUUUAAUGUUAGUCCUUUUGGGUCGGUCAAUAUAGUCCUUGAAAUUGUCUUGAAGAUACUAAAGUGAUUGAAAAUUUUCAAUUUCAAUGAUCAUUUUAGAAUAUGUUAAUUUUAGGGGCUAGAUUGCAUGAUGUCGUGACCAAUACUAUUAUAAGACUGAAAUAGGUUAUUCGCUCUUUCGUUUUAUGUUAUUUGAUGUGUCUAUGCUAGGUGGUGCUUACCUAAAGAUUCUUGAUGGCUACAUUAGUUCAUAUGUUGUUGCUAUCUGAUGAAUGGAAAAUUUAAAUUUGUUGGUCGAGGGUUGAGUACCUCGAUUGGUUUGAGCUAAGGGUUAAGAAGUUGGAGGUCGUCUGUUCAAAUUUUGGUAAUGUCGACAUUGUCCAUGACAGUGAUUAUAAUUAUGAUGUGUUGUUCAAUUUUAAUAUUUAAGGCUCAUUCUACGCAUGCUGAUAACUUAAUCCUGCCAAGCCCUGUAUAUUAACAUUGAUUAGUUGCUCAAUAUUACAGGUGGAUAUCUAAGCUGUAUUUCGAUGAUAUUCUAGAAAAUACAGAAGCAAAUAUAUGUCUUGUUAUCGAUGCUCGUAUUUGGAGGAUUCUAUAAAUUGAGCCAUCUUCUGCUGCUAGUUCAGGUUGAAGUUGAACUAGUGAUAAAUGAUAAAAAUAAACUAAUGUUGUGCAAAAUUAGUUCAGUGUUGCUUGUAGCUAAAAUGUUAUGCUGCCAUGC